AACGAACGCUGGCGGCAGGCUUAACACAUGCAAGUCGAGCGCCCCGCAAGGGGAGCGGCAGACGGGUGAGUAACGCGUGGGAACGUACCCUUAUCUUCGGGAUAGCUCCGGGACACUGGAAUUAAUACCGAAUGUGCCCUUUGGGGGAAAGAUUUAUCGGAUAAGGAUCGGCCCGCGUUGGAUUAUCUCGUUGGUGUGGUAAAAGCCUACCAAUGCGACGAUCCAUAGCUGGUCUGAGAGGAUGAUCAGCCACAUUGGGACUGAGACACGUCCCAAACUCCUACAGGAUGCAGCAGUGUGGAAUAUUGGACAAUGGGCGCAAUCCUGAUCCAGCCAUGCCGCGUGAGUCAUGAAUGCCUUAGGAUUGUAAAGCUCUUUCACCGGAAAAGAUAAUGACGGUACCCGGAGAAGAAGCCCCGGCUAACUUCGUG
Molecule: ribosomal RNA, 431 nt
Filed under: uncultured bacterium
Lineage: Bacteria
Description: partial 16S ribosomal RNA
Rfam family: Bacterial small subunit ribosomal RNA
Source: RNAcentral